This 492-nucleotide ribosomal RNA is filed under the name uncultured bacterium. RNAcentral describes it as "partial 16S ribosomal RNA". It matches the Rfam family "Bacterial small subunit ribosomal RNA", at positions 29 to 507 of the family's 1533-position model. The record is from RNAcentral.
AGUGAACGCUGGCGGUAGGCCUAACACAUGCAAGUCGAACGGCAGCACAGUAAGAGCUUGCUCUUACGGGUGGCGAGUGGCGGACGGGGGAGGAAUACAUCGGAAUCUACUUUUUCGUGGGGGAUAACGUAGGGAAACGUACGCUAAUACCGGAUACGACCUACGGGUGAAAGCAGGGGAUCUUCGGACCUUGCGCGAGUGAAUGAGCCGAUGUCGGAUUAGCUAGUUGGCGGGGUAAAGGCCCACCAAGGCGACGAUCCGUAGCUGGUCUGAGAGGAUGAUCCGCCACACUGGAACUGAGACACGGUCCAGACUCCUACGGGAGGCAGCAGUGGGGAAUAUUGGACAAUGGGCGCAAGCCUGAUCCAGCCCUACCGCGUGGGUGAAGAAGGCCUUCGGGUUGUAAAGCCCUUUUGUUGGGAAAGAAAAGCAGCAGGUUAAUCCCCCGCUGUUCUGACGGUACCCAAAGAAUAAGCACCGGCUAACUUCGUG